Non-coding RNA from Sturnus vulgaris (Common starling), 374 nucleotides. The record is from RefSeq and is a predicted model, not a curated record. NCBI's taxonomy places the organism in Eukaryota, Metazoa, Chordata, Aves, Passeriformes, Sturnidae.
AGGAGGAAGGAAUAAAUGACACCAAUUUCUGUAAUGGAAAGAAAAAAAGAAAAAAGUGUGUAUCGGAAACUGCUGCUGAGUGACUCAUGCUGCCAGACAAACGGAACCUCACUCAUCACUCCAUCUUCAUCCUCCUCUGGUUAUGUCUUCUUCCACCCUGAGAUGCCUUGACUAUGCAUGUGAAAAUGGCCAUGAAGAGCAUUACUCACUGGGCCUGGAAUAGGUCUCAUUGGAAGAUGGACUCAAGCCUGGCCUUAUCUCUGAGGCAGGAUUUCACCCUAGUGUUUAAAGGGAGAAAUUCAGGUCUGGAGAUGUGGCUUAUCCCUGUAAGCAUCCCUUAACUUGAAAUGCAGAUUACAGUUUGGUGUGGAUGA